Molecule: long non-coding RNA, 1502 nt
Organism: Dermacentor andersoni
Lineage: Eukaryota; Metazoa; Arthropoda; Arachnida; Ixodida; Ixodidae
Source: RefSeq, a predicted model, not a curated record
UGUGGAUCGUUUAUUUUUUGGGGCUUGUGCUAGCGUAAGCUAUCGUGGCCAAAGAACGUAAUCGGAAGAGGUGACGAGACGAAUGCGUUCUUCGUGGUUAGGAAAAGAAUUGCCACUGGCAUCCAGUUGUGUGAGGCGCUGACGACAAGAGAUAGAAGCAGAUGCCAAAGAAGUCCCACCCCAAGAUGAGUUCAUGGGUCACUCACGAAAUACCGCAAAAACAACGUGGUGAAGAAUUUAGUCUAUGGACACACGAACAGUACACGGUGCGAUUGGACGAAUAAUAACGUUGGCUGCUGCACAAAGAGAAAGGCCGGAGUAAGGCAAUUCUUGUGUUUUAUAGAGUCCCGAACAGUCACAUGGCAAUAAUCGCCAAGCGUCUUGUAACAUGGAGCCACUUCAGAAUUGCACCAAACAAAGAUGAUGGAUGCAGCCAGUCUUGCCAGAUAACUACAUUUUGACUAUUCUGUAUUGUUUGCAUUUAUUGUGCAAAAGGAAUUCUCGCAGAGAGUUUUAUCUUCAGCGGCCUUCAGUUGACGUCAUCUGCUACAACUAGCACAUAAGUUAACUCCAUAGCACCACUAGGAUGGAGACAUUGUGUCGUGGGAUGCUUCCUUAAAAGUGGGCAAGAAGAUUCUAAAGGAAAAGUGUGAGAAGGUCACAGUAAUAACCAAGGCAUUUGGCAUGGGAAUGACCCAGCUGUGAAGGUAUUAUCAGAUGUGGACAAGCAUAUAAUACUAAAUGGCGCCUUGCACGAGUCCCAAGUGUCAAAUGUAAUGAGUAUUGUACAUUGAAAGGGCCAAAAAUGUUUUGUACAUGCAAGGGAACACUAUGGGCAUUUGAUAGCAGUUGCUUAGAUGUACUACAUUAAAAGGAACCAAACGAAUUCCCUUAGACAUAAGCAUGCAGCAAAUUCAAGGACUAGAUGAAGCUUCAAAGAAACUGCAUUUCAUGUAGGAUAGGUGUGAAUGACCUUUGUGCAUGAGAUCAGUGACAAAAACACUAAAUGAAUGCAGUACAGUGUCUGUAUCAUAUCUUGUGCAGACCAAACGAGCCUGGAGUUUCAGCAUUCCUUGUCAGUACAUUUAAAUAGGCACUACAUUGUUCAAAGUGCAAUAUUGUUCUACAAAACAAUAUGCAAGAUGUAGCAUGCUAACCCUCGUGGCUCAACAACUACUGAACCGAAACCUCAAUGAGUAGUGAAGCGUCCUUGUAAUUUUCAUCGUAACCAUACUUUUGCUCUUGAAAGUGAACCUCUUUAGUGAAUUUGCUUGUGUAUUUUUCUUUAGGCAAGUAUUUUUUAUACAUGUUAAUGUCUCAAUCCUGCUUUCUCUUUCCGGAGCUAAAACAAAAUGCCUCUUAUUUCAAUUUGAUCUUUUGACCUAGGAAGCCAUCAUCUGGUGCUGUGUACAGCAAGCACAUGCUUCGGGCAAGGAGGGAGCCAGCACCAUAUCUACAUCAGCAAGAACCUCGGUGCUCAAAAUAAACAUUUUCUGUGCAAA